RNAcentral lists this ribosomal RNA (292 nucleotides) under uncultured bacterium. RNAcentral describes it as "partial 16S ribosomal RNA". It matches the Rfam family "Bacterial small subunit ribosomal RNA", at positions 505 to 796 of the family's 1533-position model. The record is from RNAcentral.
GUGCCAGCAGCCGCGGUAAUACAGAGGUCUCAAGCGUUGUUCGGAAUCACUGGGCGUAAAGGGUGCGCAGGCUGCGCGGGCAGUCAAUUGUGGAAUUCAAGGGCUCAACCCUUGGGCUGCACUUGAUACUUCCGCGCUAGAGCCCUGGAGAGGAGUCUGGAAUUCUCGGUGUAGCAGUGAAAUGCGUAGAUAUCGAGAGGAACGCCAACGGCGAAAGCAAGACUCUGGACAGGUGCUGACGCUCAUGCACGAAGGCCAGGGGAGCAAACGGGAUUAGAUACCCCGGUAGUCC